Long non-coding RNA from Choloepus didactylus (southern two-toed sloth), 544 nucleotides. RefSeq lists it as uncharacterized. The transcript is spliced from 3 exons. The record is from RefSeq and is a predicted model, not a curated record. NCBI's taxonomy places the organism in Eukaryota, Metazoa, Chordata, Mammalia, Pilosa, Megalonychidae.
GGAGCGGCUGUGAUGGUGGUGGCGGUCGGAGGUUCGAGAGCUCUUCUCUUCCGCGGACCGUGCGGGCGUCCCGAGUAGAUGGGGAUAUGGAGGCCCAAAGUGGUCAAAUGCCUUGCCCGUGGACAUACAGAUGGUGCAUGGCAGGGGGCGAAGAGGGAGGGGCUGAAACACUGGACCGGCUCCCGAGCAGGGAGCUCCUCAUCUAAUGGCCAAGAGGACGCAAGCAGAUGGCUGCUUUCCAGCUAAAACUUUUAGGCCAUUUUUAUCUCUCAAAAUGGGAAUUGUUUGAUCUCUUGUUGUCUUCUAAUUAUGAAAGUAAUAAAUGAUCAUCAUAAAGAAUUCUCAGGUGCUCUAAAAUAUGAGUUCCUCUCCCCAACCCUGAUACUCCAACACCUCCUCUCCCAAAUCCUGCCUACCCACAGUCUGGUAAAGUGCUUUUCUUCCUUUAAAAACUAUGUCAGGAAUAUCUUUCCAUCUCAAUACUUGGAGUGACAUAGUUAGUUUUAACGGCCGCUGUGUAUGAACGUGCCAUAAUUCAUUUAAU